This is a long non-coding RNA of Equus caballus (horse), 8986 nucleotides long. The record is from Ensembl. Lineage: Eukaryota; Metazoa; Chordata; Mammalia; Perissodactyla; Equidae.
GCCUCCCUCCACAAGGACACUGUGAUCACAUUCAGGACCCAGCGCGUAAUCCAGGAUAACCUCAUCUCCAGAUGCUUAACGUCAUCACAUCCGCAAAGUCCUUUUUGCCAUGUAAGGAAACACUCACAUUCUGGAAAACCUCAUGUCUGGAAAUGGGGGAAGUAAAUCUCUGGGGUCGUUGUGAGGUUCCAGCGAAUCACAAAUGAGACAUUUAGAGGGAGCGGCACAGCCCGCCGUCCAUGUGAGGAAAGACGGCCAGCCCUGGAGUGGACUCAGCGACCCCAGGAGGGACCCAGCGACCACAUUUCUGCUCUCACGCUGCCCCCGGCUUCCUGACCCUGGGCCUUCAUCAGGAACCCCGCCCGGAUGAAGGCCUCUCGCGGCCCCAAGUCUGCGGCUUAUCACUGCUCUCUGGGAUUCAGAGAAAGGCCAGUCUACUGGGUCAGCCUGAGGGUCUCACUAGCCUCACGACAACCGUCAUCCCUCUGAAGAUGGGGAAACGGAGGCAAUCCAAAGGCCAAGCACCAUGCCCAUGACAGAGGACGGUGAGGACUACGGCCCCGGUCUUCUGAUUUCUCGUCCUGGCCUCCCUCCAUCACACCCCAUGGUCCCUGGGUGGGUCCCCUGAGGGGCUGUUUCCCAGUGAACUGAGCCACCAGAACCAGCUGGAACCUGGCCUUGGCCAUGGCCACACUGCCAUCCAACAAGCCCAGGGGCUGUCCCAACAAGACCCGGAUCGACGAGGAGACAGCUGUGCAGAGGGACUGGCUGUCCAGACAGGCCUGCUAGCACGUCCAGGGCACGGAGGGGCAGCUGGGCCCGGCUUUCUUCCUUCGGUGGCGGCACCUCAGGCACCUGAGUUCCUAAUCCGGCCGUUAGAGCCGGAUUUCAGCUCCCAGUAAAAGUUCGUCUGAGUUAUAGACCUUUGAAGAUACGGUUCUUAAUGAAAACGCCGAGAGAAGCCAAUUAGAGUGGCAUGAAUGGUAAUGACUGUAAUAAGGUUAAUUGAGUUGGAUGUAUUACAGCUGACGACGGGCUUUUUUUUUUUUCCUUAAGCAGAAAAAGAAAAUAAUUUACUGAUAUUAAAACUGAUUUACUGAUAUAAAAAGUCUUCCUUCAGACCCUUGGGAAACAGCUCGGUUUCUGGAACUUCCUCUCAAAUGUGAGGCUGGCAGGAAACAAGAAGAUGAAGCCACCUCCAGCGAGCUAGAGCUCUUCCUGCCAGACGCAAAAUCAAAAUCAAAGGAGCAAGAAGAGUCUGGGAGGCAGCGAGGGAGAGCGGAAAGGACGGGACCUGGGAGGCAGAUGCUGUCAUUUCCUAACUGUGUGACUUAGACAAGUUCCUCAGCCUCUCUGAGCCUUAGUUUCUUCAUCUGUAGAACAGAGGACUCCCCAAAUUGAGUAAGCUUCAGGCCUCACAAAACCCAGACCCGCCCCGUCUCCCGUGUGUGCAGCGUUCCGGAAGCUUUGCCUGGAGAGGGUUCCACUGAGAGGGAUCUCAACUGGAUUUGCCUGCCCCCUGCUACAGCUCAGCCACCAAGGCGCAGAACCAGGCCAGCUCUGACACCUCUGUUUUUUCCUCUCUCUCUCUCUCCUCUCCCUACAAACAGAGGGCUUGGGUGAAAAGGAGGGAGCCAAGGCACAACCAGCCCACAGAUGUUGUCCCCAUGGCCCAUCACCUUUACCUCCCCCAUGACCCCACGGAAGUCCCUGCUCUCUGGCAUCAUCUUCCCCUAGGAAGCUUUUUGUCUGCAUAUUUAUUUAUUUGUUUAUUUUCUUAAGGUAUGCUUUUUGGUGAGGAAGGUUGGCCUUGGGCUAACAUCUGUUGCCAAUCUUCCUCCUUUUUUUUUCCCACUCCAAAGCCCCAGUACACAGCUAUAUAUCCUAGCUGUAAGUCAUUCUAGUUCUAUGUGGAAUGCCACCUCAGCAUGGCCUGAUGAGCGGUGCCAUGUCUGCGCCCAGGAUCUGAACCGGCGAAACCCUGGGCUACCAAAGCAGAGCAUGCGAAUUUAACCACUUGGCCCCGGGCUGGCCCCUGCAUGUUUAUUUAUUUGUCUUUUUCUGACACAAAAGGGGUGCUUGUAUCAUGGGGCCCUUCCUUACAGUUUAAACAGAAAGGUAUUUGUUACCGGGGACUGGCCAGCCACCCCUGCUUCUGGAUGGCCCCAAACCCGGCUCCGAUGGGUCUAGCCUCACUGUUGGCGAGGGCCGGGGUGCGGCUCAGCCUCCCCUUGAUGGGACUUCCUUGCCCCAGUGCCUUCGAGGCUGUGCCCACGCGGGCGGCAGCGCUCCAGGACCCCGCUCCGGCAGGUGCCAGCAUCAGCCGGUCAUGCAGAGCCACCCUUAACCCAGGCUCAGACGGCUCCUUCUUCUCAGACGUCAACACCAGCCCACUGGUGAUGUGGGGUGAACUCCCCCAAAAUGGUAUUUUGAAGUCCUAACCCCCAGUACAUCAGAAUGUGACCUCGUUCAGAAAUAAGGUCAUUACUGAUGUCGUUAGUUAAGAUGAGGUUAUACUGGAGCAGGGUGGCCCUACUCCAAUCUGACUGGUGUCCUUAGAAGAAGAGGAGAGAGACGCAGACACACAAGGGGCGAACAUCAUGCGACAACAGAGGCAGAGAGUGGAGCGAAGCAUCUACAAGCCGAGGAUUGCCGAGGACUGCCAACCAGCCAGACGCUGGCGGAGGCAAGGAAGACUCUCCCCCGGUCUCGGAGGGAGCAUGGCUCUGCUGACACAUGGAUUUAAGACUUCUGGCCUCCAGAGCUGCGAGACAAUACAUUUCUGCUGUUUGGAGUCACCCAAUUUGUGGUGCUUUGUUACAGCUGCCCUAGGAAACUAACACAACCGGCCACAGGGAUUCCCCGGUAGGACAUGGGGCCGGCCUGGGGAGAGGCGGUGAUGCGGCCGGAGCUGGGGCGGUGGGAGGAUGAGCCACCUGCUCAGUCAGGCUACCUGUGCCUUCAGGACCUUCUCAAGCCCAGUCGCGUACACGCCACCUCCCUGAUGAUUAACUGCUGCUGGGCACACCCAGCCUAUGGCUGGACGGCUCAGGCCACACUCAGCUCGAGAUGCCGAGCUCAGGUUCACAGUUACUUGGUGUCUCCUGUGGCUAGCAUUCAGCCUGGGAGCUGUUUCUCAAAUGGAGCACAGUUACUUGCUGAUGAGAGCGUUGCUUUGCUCUGCAUACUGGGCAUCUGUGCUGUGUUUCCUUCCUUGGGGCUGGCCUGGGGCCCUCUGUCACCUCUGGGCUGGCAUAGACACCUGGAGCACCCCUGGCUCUGCUGGGCCGUCAGGGCCUGUCGGCAGAGCUCCCUGCACUGAGGCCUGAAUCAGCCUUUUGCUCUGUCCACAAAACCGAGGGCCUCUGGGUGUGGCGAUUCAGUAAUGGGACAGAGCAGCCCACCGAAAUGUCAUGUCUGGUUGCCACCAAAAUCCACAGGGACUCGCCAUGCUUGGUGCCUCUUUCUCAGUGUGGGGGUGCAAAGUUCCUUUUGGAGGGGAUACGCCAACCAGUCCCAGGAGCUUCACUCAGGCAGGAGGGGUCUACCGUAACGUCAGGCACGCAUUUUGGACUCACCAGAGAAGGUAGGAUUCUUUGGAAAAGACAACAAUACUGGGAAAAGUAGAAGGCGGCAGGAGAAGAGGAAGACCAAAUGCGAGAUGGCAUGACUCCAUAAAGGAGGGCGUGGGCCUGAGUCUACGGGAGCUGAGUGGGGCUGCCAAGGACAGGACACGGUGGACGUCACUGACUUGCAAGGUUGCCAGGAGUCAGAGCUGAGUUGACAGCACAUAACAACAACUGGUACACACGUGUCUUCCUAAACCAUCUAGAUGAUUCCUGACACUGCCUGCUCUCCAGGUCCCAUCAGUGUGGUGUCAUCAAUGUCACGGUCUAGCCUCUGAUCUUCUGGAACAAUGAGACCUUCAAGUGCCUGUGGACUAAAUUAUGACAAGGAGCCAGAGAGCAGCCCUGACAGGUAACAGACCACCUCUGGUGCUCUCUGCGCGUUAGGAUGGAGAAGGGCCUUCCCAGAUCCAUCACUGCCCACAGGCGCUGCAGCUGGAGACGUUCGCUGCAGAAAAGACCACAGUGAGAAGAGCUCGCUGAUGCUGUUAACAUGUCUUGAGCCUGUCAUGUCCUUUCCUCAAACUCUCUGCCUAAUUAGGGGCAGCCGGCCCCCACGGCUCACACCCUUCAAAAUGGUUUGCCCCAGCAGCCCCUUGGCGGCCAGCCCUGGGCUCACGGGCCCUCGCCUCAGGUGAGCACAGGCUGUCACCUGAGGGGUUGCUUCUCCUCCGUGGGCCUCCGUCUCCUAGUGCCAGGCGGCCCGUGCUGCCUGUGACCCGAACAGUGAGGACACCCAGUCCCAGAUCCCUCCCUUCCUGAGGCUCUAUCGCCUGCAGCUAUUUCUGCUGCAGAAAGUACUGUCUUGGUGACUGCAGACAGGCCGAGCCCCUGUAGCGAGCGUGCGAGGUUUCCAGUUUCUCAGAGAGCAGAGCCGGGCUCGAUGCCCCCAACCGGGAGUAGUGCAAUGGGGAGACACUCGGGGGUGCAGAGGAAACCCUCCACGGCCCUGCUAGUCACCCCCAUUUGCAGUGUAGGCACGGGGUCUAGCACCAGCCUGCGGCUGUCCCAUGUGACGAACCCCCGAGGCCCCAGACCCAUGGCCCAGCCCGCGGCCGCCCCUUGUGUUCCUCCUUCUGCCUUUCCAGCCUCUGUCAGUGGGGAGCUGAGCUGCAGCUGAAGACGGAGCGACACAGAAGGCGCCCUGUGCCUCGAGGCAGGCGAGACGGCUGUGGAAGGUUCGAGGGCACCAGCCGUUCUAGUUGGGGAUGAUGGAGAAGGAGAAUUUGAAGCGGACGUUGGGAGCUGAUGUUAGACAUGUGGUAGUGGAGGGAAGCAGAGGACUUCCAGACAGAGGGCGCAGCCCCACAAAGGCCUGGAAAGGACGUUGGGGGUGUGCACUGGUGAGGGCUGGGCGCUUGGGGUCUCUCCGUGGCAGGGAGCACCCAGGGACCCCAGCCUGCCCAGAGCCCGGGCCUCCUCACCCUUCUGUCUGCUGCAGUCCUCAUGCCCUUCUCCUGGGACUGGUCACGAUCUCCUCCAUCAUGGGCCUUUCAACCAUGCUGAGCGUGAGGACUCAAGAAAUGUGUCACCAGCCUUGGAGCACAUGGCACGUGUCAGAGAGUGUGAAUUCCCUUCCAGGCCCGGGGCCCUCAUCCCCUGCUGCUGCUUCUCCAGGCUCGCCAUUCCUGGUCCCGCUCCCACGUGUUCCCUGUGCUCCUCUCACGGCACCAGGGGCCUCUACUCAGACAAGGAGCCACUUGCCUCCUCCUAGCUGCCUGGGGCGCUCUAUCCCCCCAAUUUUCUCAUUUAAUCCUCAAAGUAGCUCUAUGUCCAUUGUACAGAUGCAGAAACUGAGACUGGAGUAUCUACUCCAGGGUGGAGGCUGGACUCGCAUGCAGGCGGCAUAGCCCCAUGACCUCCAUUCAAACUACUGCAUCGGAACUUUUCUUUCCGCGUGCAGGUGAAACCUCCAAUUACAGAAGCUCUUGCUUUCUGGUCCCUCCCGGCUUUACGCCACUGACAGCUGCGGACCUUCCUGGUUCCUGCCGUGCCCCACCCAGCCCGGGCCUCACUGCUGCGCGAGCCCUGGAAAGCGUGCUCCCCCCGCCCCCCGAGAAGCUCUGUGCGUGGGCGCAGAAACCCGGCAGGGCUGGUCGAGUGGCUUCGCGCCGUGUCUCCAAGAUCAGUUAGAUGCAAAGCCCUGAUGUGCCACCUGGAGGGGGCCGGGCAUUUCUUAGCUGCUGGCCUGAAGUCGGCUCAGCCUUUCGUUCAUCUCAUGUUCUCUCCAGUCCUAGGAGACGCAGAAGGCAGGGACGCUAUCCCGACUUACACAGGGGAACCCCAGCCCAGAGAGCCCUGGGUCUUCACCAAAUCACACAGCUGGUACGAGCCCAGGGCCCCGGGCUGCCGUCCCCAGUCAGCUGGCACCUGCGGCAGGUUUAGGUACCAGGGAGCCUGUCUCCCUGGACGUGGUUCUGGCCUGGGCCUUGCAUUGGAAUCCCUUGGGGAACAGAUUCUCGACCCACUAAAUCAGGAUCUCCCGGGUGGGGCCCCUGCAUUGUUGUUGCUCCUUCAAGCUCCCAGGUGAUGCCAACGUGUGGCCACGGAGAUGGGCAGGGCCAUGCCCACGCAAGGAGAGAGGUUUUACCCCGAAUCACCCACUCGUGAUGAUUUAAGAACAAGUCGUGUGUGCGGAGGACGUCUCGGAAAGGACCAGGGAUGAUCGGGGCCGGGACCACUUUGCAACCCUGAGUUCCCCUGGGGACACCCGGCUCCGUCUAACCAGCUCACAAGCAGCCAAGCAAGAUGAGACUCAUAAGUACUCCGGGCUUUGAUGGAGACAAAAGAACCGGCCUAUUUACAUGAGAAACAACCAAGAAAGAAACAGGAGAAGAGAAGCGUCCGGACUGGGCCUGCUAAGUCUGCUUUUGCUCCCACGUCGGCCUGGGGAGACAUCACUUCUGGAGCGCCUCUCCUUUCAGAGUUCUGUUGCUGCAUUUCAGCAGGAAUGUUCUGGAUGUAGGUUUUCUGUCGUCCUUGCUCUGAUCUGUGUGCUAAGACCUGCACCGGGGCCUCCUUCACACACAGUGGACCAAUGGCAAGCCCUGAGAUGGUCAUUGGGUCCGUGCCGUCUGCCCAGGCCUUCGCCGGGGUGGUUGGGUUCAGGCUCUUUGUCACCAAUGGCCUCUCUUCCUGGGACCCACACAGUGAGAGCCCCCGAGGUGUGCCCUGCAGGCACCAGGCCGCUGCCAUUUUUGUGAAGGAAACCCGUGGCCUAGUUGGUGUUUGCCCGUUAUCCAGAGCCACCCCAAGCUGCCUCACUCUGCUGGGUCACUCCCUGAAUCCUCGGCGACCCCCACCCUCCUCCCCCCUGGGAAGGAAAAGCCCCUGCCCGGCCCAGCCGCCGGAUUGGUGUUGAGGUCCUGGGCCUGGACCUCUUGAGUCCUCUCAAAGACAGCCCAGAACCCGCAUCCCCUCUGCGGAGCCCCUGGGAGCACAGCCUGUGGGGACGUGACCCCCAGGGGCAGCGAGGCUGGAGCAGCUCUGGCCUUGCAUAGGCUUCCUCUGGCAGCCGGGGACACAGCUGCUGGGCCUCCUGACUCAGUCCCUGGGCCGCCUCCCUCUUGAACUUCUGUCCCUAAGGGCUCGGUUCACAGCUGUUCAGAGGGUGACCUUGAACAUCCCUUGGCGAUCUGGGCAUCUCCACUUAUUGCUCAUAAACUCAGCUGACCUCCUUAUGGCGGACUGUGGGAAGUCUCAGUUUCUGCUCUCGAGAAACGGAAACGACACCCCCUAGGUAACGGGGAACAAUGAAAUUGGGGGUGUGAAAGCAUCUUCCAAAGGUUGGAAUGGUGUUGGGGACCACGAGGAAGGCAUCAGACUCUUUUCUACAAAAACCUUUCCCAGCGAGGCAAAGGCCAGAACUUGGGCCAACGCAGCAUUUUGUGCGACAUGAGCCGCCUGUAUCACCUCUGACUCUGGAUUUUGGCCCAAGACAGACCUGGGUUCAACUCCUGAAUUCCAGUUCAGUCGUGUGACUUUAGAAAGUCACUCAGCCCCUCUGAGCCUUAAUCUCCUUGUCAGUAGACUUGCAACAAUAAUCUCUUUGUUGAGAGUGUUGUUGUCAAGGGUAAAUAAGACAGUGCGUAUACAGCACACCCCAAAACUAAACUGGAGAACCCACACGCACAUGGGCUCCAGCCCCGUAAGUGGCCUUGGGGGCCGCGUUGGGCCCAGGCCGCUACCUUUUCUGAUUUGUGCUGGAUCUGACCUUAGAGCCACCUGUAGCCAUCAGUCAAUUCUGUAGAAUAUCCGCAGGCCCAGCAAUCUCUGCCCUUUAUGGAAGGAGCUUUUAAGUUUGGAAAUAUCCAAACCAAGUCUGGUGAGGAGCGUGGGCGACCUUAUGGGGAGUCUGUGCAGGGCCCGAGUCCGGGGGCCUGAUGGUGUGAGGGCGAUGCUCUCGCGGGGCUGUACCUGCCUCUGGAAAGGGAGCCCUGAAGAGGAGAACAUUCCUAGCAACGCUUCCAUUGUUGGCCUGCGUGUAUGGGGUCAUCAUGUGUCCAUGUAGGAGAGGGCUUCUCCCACACCACCCGGCGAGAUCUUCCCCAGGACAGGUCCCGGCCCACGUCCUCUGGCACCCAGGCCAGCUCUCCAGGAUGCUUGUCAAAUGAGUGAGUGGGUGAAUGACCCAGUGAGCUCCAUGGAGACCCCAUUUAGUGACUCCCUAUAUUUUUUUUAAAAAGAAACCUGUGCUCAGUUUUCAUUGCACAUAAUGAAACUAACAUUGAUCUGCUUCCAGGAGGAGCUGGGCUGGAGCCUGGAAAAGCACAGGGAGCCACUCCCAGGUAUGCACCCUGGAGAAAUGAAAACACGUGUCUGCACAAAGACCUGUACUGAGCAUUCAUAGCAGCUUUAUUUGUAAUAACUAAAAAAGUGGAAACAACUCAAAUGUCCACCAACUGAUGAACGGAUAAAUAGAUGUGAUAUAUCCACACAAUGGAAUAUUAUUCAGCCAUAAAAAGGAAUGAAGUACAGAUUCGUGCUACAACGUGAAUGAAGCUGGAAAACAUUAUGCCAAGCGAAAGAAGCCCAACACAAAAGGCCCCAGAUUGUAUGACUCCGUUUGUAUGAAGUGUCCAGAAUAGGCGAAUCUGUAGAGACAGAGAGUGGACCAGUGGUUGCCUAGGGCCGGGGGAGGGGGAGUGAGGAGUGACCACUAACGGAUAUGGGGUUUCUUUCUGGGUGUUGAGAACAUUCUGGAAUUGGAUAAUGGUGAUGCUUGUACAACUUUGUGGAUAUACUAAAAAGCACUUUAAAUGGGGGAAUGGUAUGGCGUGUGAAUUCUGUCUUAACAAAGAUGUUUUGAAAAAGCACAGGGUCCUGGGCCCCUUUUCUUCACACUAGAACCAGAUCUGUGG